GAUGAACGCUGGCGGCGUGCCUAAUACAUGCAAGUCGAGCGAACAGACGAGGAGCUUGCUCCUCUGACGUUAGCGGCGGACGGGUGAGUAACACGUGGAUAACCUACCUAUAAGACUGGGAUAACUUCGGGAAACCGGAGCUAAUACCGGAUAAUAUAUUGAACCGCAUGGUUCAAUAGUGAAAGACGGUUUUGCUGUCACUUAUAGAUGGAUCCUCGCCGCAUUAGCUAGUUGGUAAGGUAACGGCUUACCAAGGCAACGAUGCGUAGCCGACCCGAGAGGGUGAUCGGCCACACUGGAACUGAGACACGGUCCAGAAUCCUACGGGAGGCAGCAGUAGGGAAUCUUCCGCAAUGGGCGAAAGCCUGACGGAGCAACGCCGCGUGAGUGAUGAAGGUCUUCGGAUCGUAAAACUCUGUUAUUAGGGAAGAACAAAUGUGUAAGUAACUAUGCACGUCUUGACGGUACCUAAUCAGAAAGCCACGGCUAACUACGUG
Molecule: ribosomal RNA, 497 nt
Filed under: uncultured bacterium
Lineage: Bacteria
Description: partial 16S ribosomal RNA
Rfam family: Bacterial small subunit ribosomal RNA
Source: RNAcentral